GAAACUGCGAAUGGCUCAUUAAAACAGUUAUAGUUUAUUUGAUAGUGCACAUUACAUGGAUAACCGUGGUAAUUCUAGAGCUAAUACAUGCGCAAAUACCUGACUCACGAAAGGUAGCAUUUAUUAGAUUUAACCAUCAUAUGGUGAAUCAUAGUAACUUGGCGGACCGCGCUCCGGCGUGGUAAAUCAUUCAAGUUUCUGCCCUAUCAGCUUUCGAUGGUAGUGUAUUGGACUACCAUGGCAGUCACGGGUAACGGAGAAUUAGGGUUCGAUUCCGGAGAGGGAGCCUGAGAAACGGCUACCACAUCUAAGGAAGGCAGCAGGCGCGUAAAUUACCCAAUCCCAAUUCGGGGAGGUAGUGACAAGAAAUAACAACCUGAGUGGUUCGCCACUUCGGGAUUGCAAUGAGAUAAGUCUAAAUCCGUAAGCGAUUACCAAUUGGAGGGCAAGUCUGGUGCCAGCAGCCGCGGUAAUUCCAGCUCCAAUAGCGUAUACUUAAGUUGUUGCAGUUAAAAAGCUCGUAGUUGAAAAUCGAAUCAGCUUCAUUAUGGCUUCGGUCAUACUUGUUAGCUGGUUCUCCGUCUACAAACCUUUUUGCUCUUUUACGAGUGCAGCUUGGAGAGUAGACAAUUUACCUUGAAAAAAUUAGAGUGUUCCAGGCAGGUCUUCGCCGGAAUACAUUAGCAUGGAAUAAUGGAAUAGGACUAUGGUCUUUUGUUGGUUUUAGGGCCAGUGUAAUGAUUAAUAGGGACAGAUGGGGGCAUUAGUAUUUAAUUGUCAGAGGUGAAAUUCUUGGAUUUAUUAAAGACUAACUUAUGCGAAAGCAUUUGCCAAGGAUGUUUUCAUUAAUCAAGAACGAAAGUUAGGGGAUCAAAGACGAUCAGAUACCGUCGUAGUCUUAACUAUAAACUAUACCGACUCGAGAUCGGAAGGUGCUCAAUAAGGCCCUUUCGGCAUCGUAAGAGAAAUCAAAGUCUUUGGGUUCUGGGGGGAGUAUGGUCGCAAGGCUGAAACUUAAAGGAAUUGACGGAAGGGCACCACCAGGAGUGGAGCCUGCGGCUUAAUUUGACUCAACACGGGGAAACUUACCAGGUCAAAACAUGGAUGGGAUUGACAGAUUGAAAGCUCUUUCUUGAUUCUAUGGGUGGUGGUGCAUGGCCGUUCUUAGUUGGUGGAGUGAUUUGUCUGGUUAAUUCCGAUAACGAACGAGACCUUAACCUGCUAACUAGUUUGUACCUAAAAAAGGUAUAUAUCUUCUUAGAGGGACUAUGUAUGUUAAAUGCAUGGAAGUUUAAGGCAAUAACAGGUCUGUGAUGCCCCUAGAUGUCCUGGGCCGCACGCGCGCUACACUGACACGUUCAGCGAGUUUAAUCUCCUAUCUCGAAAGGGUAUGGGAAAUCUUGUUAGGACGUGUCGUGCUGGGGAUAGAUCUUUGCAAUUAUAGAUCUUGAACGAGGAAUUCCUUGUAAGCACAGGUCAUCAGCCUGUGCUGAAUACGUCCCUGCCCUUUGUACACACCGCCCGUCGCUCCUACCGAUUUCGAGUGAUGUGGUGAACUAUCUGGACUGUGGACGGGCUUGAACCGUUCGCGGGAAGUUUCGUAAACCUUAUCACUUAGAGGAAGGAGAAGUCGUAACAAGGUUUCCGUAGGUGAACCUGCGGAAGGAUCA
Molecule: ribosomal RNA, 1670 nt
Filed under: Paramecium nephridiatum
Lineage: Eukaryota; Ciliophora; Oligohymenophorea; Peniculida; Parameciidae
Description: SSU rRNA
Rfam family: Eukaryotic small subunit ribosomal RNA
Source: RNAcentral